This 108-nucleotide ribosomal RNA is filed under the name Streptosporangiaceae bacterium NEAU-GS5. Its description in RNAcentral is "Bacterial small subunit ribosomal RNA". It matches the Rfam family "Bacterial small subunit ribosomal RNA", at positions 1 to 111 of the family's 1533-position model. Lineage: Bacteria; Bacillati; Actinomycetota; Actinomycetes; Streptosporangiales; Streptosporangiaceae. The record is from Rfam by way of RNAcentral.
UGUUUGGAGAGUUUGAUCCUGGCUCAGGACGAACGCUGGCGGCGUGCUUAACACAUGCAAGUCGAGCGGAAAGGCCCUUCGGGGUACUCGAGCGGCGAACGGGUGAGU